GACGAACGCUGGCGGCGUGCUUAACACAUGCAAGUCGAACGGUAAGGCCCUUCGGGGUACACGAGUGGCGAACGGGUGAGUAACACGUGGGUGAUCUGCCCUGCACUUCGGGAUAAGCCUGGGAAACUGGGUCUAAUACCGGAUAGGACCAUGGACUUCACGGUUUGUGGUGGAAAGCUUUUGCGGUGUGGGAUGGGCCCGCGGCCUAUCAGCUUGUUGGUGGGGUAAUGGCCUACCAAGGCGACGACGGGUAGCCGGCCUGAGAGGGUGUCCGGCCACACUGGGACUGAGAUACGGCCCAGACUCCUACGGGAGGCAGCAGUGGGGAAUAUUGCACAAUGGGCGCAAGCCUGAUGCAGCGACGCCGCGUGAGGGAUGACGGCCUCGGGUUGUUAACC
Molecule: ribosomal RNA, 398 nt
Filed under: uncultured bacterium
Lineage: Bacteria
Description: bacterial SSU rRNA
Rfam family: Bacterial small subunit ribosomal RNA
Source: RNAcentral